GGGGAUAUAGGUCAGUGGUAGACCACUUGCCUAGCAUGUGCAACAUCCUGGGUUCAAUCCCCAGCACCCCCC
This 72-nucleotide transfer RNA is filed under the name Marmota marmota marmota (Alpine marmot). It matches the Rfam family "tRNA". From Rfam's summary of the family: Transfer RNA (tRNA) molecules are approximately 80 nucleotides in length. Their secondary structure includes four short double-helical elements and three loops (D, anti-codon, and T loops). The record is from Rfam by way of RNAcentral. RNAcentral also lists the same sequence under 1 other name. Lineage: Eukaryota; Metazoa; Chordata; Mammalia; Rodentia; Sciuridae.